GAGGGAUGUGACCCAACUGACAUGGGUACUGGGAGAGCCCAGCUGUGCAGCCACUGCUUGAAAGGAAUCUGCUCUUUCUGCCUGCUUAUGCUCUGCAGAUUGAGUACAGCCUUCAGGGAAAAGGGCAACAGGAUCUUCAGGAGUGGUGGUGCCAAACAGUUGUGCAAAGAGCUCCCUGGGCAGGAACCACCACUAUGGAAGUCUCUGGGAGAGCACUCCUUGGGAUGGAUGGGUUUGCUUUGAAGUUCCAGACUCUUGGGCCAGGCAUGUGAUUGCCUUGUGACUGUACAUGAGGUCUGUCCCUUGGUCAUCUUAGACAUUCCUUAAUGGGCCUCGUGACUCUUGUAAGGUUUGUCUUUGUGUGACAUACUGAAUCCCACACAUUCAUCUCUGAGAAGCAGGAGUCUUACAUGUGCAGAUGAGCCUCAGUUCCUGGGCUGGAUUUGACUCAAAGUGAAGCUGAAGUUCUGAAGAACUUCUUCUAAAACUAGCUCAGAUGCUGAGCACACAGAGAGCUCAGAUCUCAGUGGCAGUACCCCUGGGAGGGGCUCUCCUACAAAUGCACACUGAUACAGAAGGACCAAGAAGAGGAAGGAGAAACCAAUGGGAUACUUGAGUUUCAAGUGAGUUAUUAAGUUCAUUUGGAAAAAGUCAUUUAAUUUCCUGUCAUUUAACUUUCUCUCUGUCUAACUACCCAAUAGUUUUGGAAGCUUUUCUCUUGUGCAAGGUAUCAAAUAGAGUAUGGCCCCUGGAAUGAAGUGUAUUUGAUUAGGGAUAGAGAUUUGAAAUCAAAUAGUGUGUGAAGCCAUGAGGAAAAAAAAAAAAAGAAACUCAGGAAAACUUGCAUGUCAAAUUAGAAUGUGUUAGCACUUUUAUUAGUGCUUCAUUUGAAGCUAGGCAGUUUUCAAGGAAAAAUCUCAGAGAGGAGAUUCCACUUAUUAAUGGAGUCAAUUCAGAAUUGUGGCACUUGAGGAGAUCAUAAGAGUUUCUGAUGAAGGCUCAAAGAUACUGCUGGACACUGACUCCAUGUUUGGUUGCCAGUGGAGGAAGCAGAGGGCACAACAGCAAAACUUGCAAUAGAAAAUGACUGCUGUACUCAUGCUAACCAGGAGGAAGAAAGUCCCAUGGAGCCUCCAGAUUUAUCUGAAUCCAUGUAAUAAGUUCCAGACUGAAGAUGAGCGGUAGACUACAUACAUUGAUGCAAUACAGAAUAGAGUUAAAAAGAAACACUGUGGUCUCAUUUCAGAGGUUUUAUGUGCUUUUACAUUUGCAAAAAGUAAGUAUCU
This 1286-nucleotide long non-coding RNA is filed under the name Numida meleagris (helmeted guineafowl). RNAcentral's name for it is "lncRNA (ENSNMEG00000007663.1)". Lineage: Eukaryota; Metazoa; Chordata; Aves; Galliformes; Numididae. The record is from RNAcentral.